Canis lupus familiaris (dog) is the source of this 399-nucleotide long non-coding RNA. RefSeq lists it as uncharacterized. The record is from RefSeq and is a predicted model, not a curated record. The transcript has 4 exons. Lineage: Eukaryota; Metazoa; Chordata; Mammalia; Carnivora; Canidae.
GUUAAACCCUUCCUGUAUUUGGGGAAUUUCCCCUUAGGAGACUUGUGGGAAGCAGAACGUCCACCAGAGAAGUGAGAGAUUCUAGAAGCUCACUGUCUCAGCCUCUUGCAGCUACAGCACUUAACUUGGACAUCACCCAUCAGACGCACUCAUCUCAAUAGAAGUUACAGUGGGGCAGCAAUGCAAGACAGCAGCAAUCAACUGUGCCAGGGACCUGUCAGUGGCAUCUCUGCAAGCUGUAGGCCCACUACUUGGGGACAGCAUCAGUGUCAUCCUCGCUACACCAGCUGACAGCCUGCUGUCCAUUGAACAUCUACUGUGUGCAGUUGGGAAACUGAACUGGAGGCCAAAGGCCUCACGAAGAGGCACAGAAAUGGAGCUAAAAUGGAAAAGGGCCCA